RNAcentral lists this long non-coding RNA (8002 nucleotides) under Nicotiana tabacum (common tobacco). RNAcentral describes it as "long non-coding RNA (NTAB_LNC004920)". The record is from RNAcentral. Lineage: Eukaryota; Viridiplantae; Streptophyta; Magnoliopsida; Solanales; Solanaceae.
CGUUAAGAAACAAUCUAAGCAUGAUCCAAUAAACCAAGGUUUAAGCAGUUAAUAGUAUAUUCGAGAAAAAUAACCCAACACAGCCUGAUACCGGGGUGUCACUAGUCAUGAGCAUCUAAACAAUCCGGAAUACUCCAAAUCAAACUAUAGAGUUUAAUACAGAAACUAAGAACAUGAAGAAAUAAGAUAGGGAAGAGCUCCAGGCUGUGAACGCCGACAGCUACCUAGAGACUCCUUGGAUCCGCCUGAGCUGGAAAUGAUCAGUACUCGGGAGCGGGAUUAGAUACGCCUGAAUCUGCACACAGGGUGCAGGGAGUAAAGUAAGUACUCCAACUCAGUGAGUAAUAAUCAUAAAUAAAGACUCAAAGCAGGAAAUCACAUAAGGCACAAGUCAUGCUAUAAUGAAGCAGUAAAACCCUUAAAACAAUAAACCAAUGAAAGAUAGGUAAAAAUCAUUUAACUCAAAUUUAACUUCAUGAAAAGCCUUUUUCAACAAUUAAGCAGGUAAUUUGACAGGCAAUUAAGAAAAAAUAAACAUAUUAAGGAUCGCCCCUCAGGCACCGUGCCAACAAAUUCGCCCCCGGGCAACAUCUCAGAACAAUACCAGCCCAUCGGGCUCAAUCUCACAUCACAAUGGGUACCCGCGCUCACUGGGGGUGUGUAGACUCCUGGAGGGGCCCAUUAUGGCUUAAGCGAUCAAGCCAUAUCGUGGCAUCAUCACUAGGCUCUCGGCCUCAUAUCAACAAGCCACCUCGUGGCGUACAUAUCUCAGGCCCUCGACCUCAUAAUCAUAAUCAGUGUAUCACCGCUGCGGCGUGUAACCCGACCCAAAAGUAUCCUCAUAGCACAGGCCCUCGGCCUUACUCAAUCAAAAUCACAUAAGCCACUCGGGCAACAGUAAAACAUGGUGCUCAGCCUAAAAUAUUAUUUGAAAUAUCAUUUCAAAUGUUAAAGCAGAGUAAACAUGGCUGAGUUUUGAAAAUAGUAGAAUAUAGCAUGACUGAGUACAAGUUUAAAGUCAAAACAGUGAGGAAAUAUUAAUAAAAAUCCCCGAAGGGUUCAAAUAAUUGGCACGAGGCCCAAAUAUGGCAUUCAACCCAAAACAUGACGAUAGCAAAUAGUUUUCAAUCAAAUACGCAGUAAAACAGUCAUUCGGGAUGGACUACGUCACAAUACCCUAUAGUGCACGACCCCACGCUCGUCAUCUAGCAUGUGCGUCACCUUAAUAUAGCACAACGAUAUGCAAUCCGGGGUUUCAUACCCUCAGAACAUCAUUUACAAUCAUUACUCAACUCGAUCCGGUCCAAACUCUAGCCCGCGAUGCCUUUGCCCUCACAAAUCGACCAUGAUCCAAAUCUAGCCGCAAUCAGUACAUAAUCUUUAAAAUAUGCUAAGGGAACAAAGCCCACUUGAAAAUAUCCAAUUUACAUCAAAAAUCCCAAAAUUUCUCAAACCCGGCGCCCGGGCCCACGUCUCGAAAUCCGAUAAAAAAUCACAUCAAUAAAAUCCUCGUUCACUCACGAGUCUACCCAUAUCAAAUUCAUCAAAAUCCGACCUCAAUUGCCCAUUGAAAUGUCCAAAAGAAAUCUCAAACUUUUCUUCCUUUUUUCCCCAAUUUUCACUCUAAUUUCUCAAAUUGAAUGAUGAAAUUCAUGACCAAAUCAUGGAAUUAAACCAAAUAUGAGUGAAGAAUACUUACCUCAAUAGCUCCACCGAAAAUCUCCUCAAAUUCCACCUAAUACCGAGCUCUCCAAUAGUUUUUAUGAAAUUGGACUUAAACCCUCAAUUUAAAAUAUAAAUUGUCUGCCCAGACAUUUCUUCAUCGUGAACGCGGCAUAUCCCUCGCUUUCGCGAAGCACACUGCUUCACUGACCGAAAUCUCUUCUACACGAACGUGAGAAAGCUCUCGUGAACGUGAUGCACAACACACUCAACACCUCACGAUCACGACCUCAACUAUGCGAACGCGUACAACAAAUGCACUGAGGACCCAUCUAUCCUUCUUCCUCUAUGCGAACGCGACCUGAACCUCGCGAACGCGAUGACCAAAGACCUCACAUCGUCGCGAUCGCGGAACCAUCAUCGCGAAUGCAAAGGCCAACUCCACAGCCUCGCACCUUAACCCUUAGCGAAUGCAGGACAUGCAUGUGAACGCGAAGGUCAAAAACCCACAACACCAACAACAGCAAUUCUGCAAUUUUUUACAACAUGAAAUGGUCCGAUUGACCACCCGAAACUCACCCGAGGCCCUCGGGACCUCAACCAAACAUGCCAAAAUACCCCAUAACCCCAUUCAAACUUGUUCCAACCUUCGAAACACUAAAAAAAACAUUAAAACACCAAAUUUGCAUCGAAUUCAAGCCUAAGAAUUUCAAAAUCUUCCGAAUUACGCUUUUGAUAAAAAACCCAACGAAACCACGUCCGAAUGACCUGAAAUUUUGCACACACGUCAAAAAUGACACAAUGGAGCUACUAAAACUUUUGGAAUUCCAUUCCGACCCCUAUAUAAAAAUCUCACCUAUCAACCGGAAAACGCCAAAAUCUCAAUUUCGCCAAUUCAAGCCUAAACCUUCCACGGACUUCCAAAAUGCAUUCCGAUCACACUCCUAAGUCCCAAAUCACCUAACGAAGCUAACCAAAUCAUAAAAAUUCCGAUCCGAGAUCAUAUAGCAACCAGUCAAAUCUUGAUCAAACUUUUCAAAUUUCAAGCUUCAAACUGAGAACUGUUCUUCCAAAUUCAUUCCUCUUACCCUGAAAACCAAAACCAACGAUUUACAUAAGUCACAACACAUCACACGGGGCAAGUCAUGCCCAAGAAUUGACAAGCAAGGUACAAAAGCUCAAAAAGAUCGGUCGGGUCGUUACAUUCUCCCCCACUUAAACAUACAUUCGUCCUCGAACGUGCUUAGAGUUGUUCCAAAAGCCAACCAAUCGCUGAAUAACCUUACCAUGCAAAUACCCAGGGGUGACCCCCGUCACCCUGUCUCAUAUACCCGAUAACACCACGCAACCGAAAUUUCACAAUCCAGCCUAGCCCACAAACCUUAGAACUACAUUUCCACUCCUGAAAUCAUCCACAAGAUUAAAAUCUCACAUCUAUACUCUGCAUAAGCCCGAACAAGCUGUAAUAACCCAUACCUGCAACCUCAGGUGAAAUCAUAUGAUAUACCACAUAACUCAAACACUUGUAGUGAUAACUUCUAAUCACGGCAGCUGCACACAACACCCGAAUACCGAUAGAAAAACUCUUAUCAACUAAAGUCUCAUUCCAAUACUUCCAUAUACUGCCAAUGAUAAAUGAAACACGCAGUAAACCAUAACCUUCGCUCAGAUCAACCAUUCAUGAAGCCACUUCUCCUUUGGCAAAUACCAUAGCAAAUUUCUGAGCCGAACCUCGAUAUUAUCCUUCCAACAUGUUGAAACUGAAUCCGUUAUAUUCAUUAAUGAACCUAAUGAUCUCAUCUAAUCCAACACACUACUCUAGUGACAUGACACAUCAAUACAGGCUAAAGCCUCAACUUGUGAAAUUCGCGCACCAAUAAGCAACAAUCCGAACAUACUCAAAUCAUGAAAAUGACUCAAAUGAAAGAGUUGUACCACAAGCUCCCCAGUACCACCACAACACAAUGCUGAGAACCCGUCACACAUCAUAGAACCAAAACACACAAAUCUAACCCACAGGAUUACACCGUCCACAUAGCUUCGCUCCAAUGCGCGACCUCAUCCACACACUAGUCCACAUGAAACACCUCAAGUGACUAUGCUCAAAAAUCGACAACCAUGCGCAAUAUGGUGUCUAAAACAAAGGCAAUAAUUAUAAUCACUACAAAGAAAUUGACAUAACAUUACACAUACCCGAAGGGACACAACCGAUACGCCAUCCACCGAGCAAUAACCAGUACUCUUUCCCGCUCGACUUCCACUAUGAAACCCCAAUGGAACCGCACCAUCUGUGCCUAUAACCAACAAAUCAUAACGUCUCGCAACAGAGAAAAGUAAUUCAUAGAUCACCUCAUAACACUAAUAGCUCAAGAACAACUGAAUCAACACAUCCCUCACCAAUAGUGACUCGAAGUAAACAAGGCCGUCUCGAUGCAGAACACACAUCCAUAUAGGUCUACUAAUAAACCCCUUAUCAAGGAGUUCCAGAAGCUACUCCUUCAACUUCCCUCACUCUACCGGUGCCAUACGAUACGGUGCCCAGCACCAAAUCAAUACCGAAAUCAACAACCCCGGCCGGCGACAUGUCCAACCACAAGAAACACAUCCGAAAAGUCCCUCACCACCAGAACUGAAUCAAUGGUAGGAGUCUCUGCACUGACAUCCAUCAUGGAAGCCCGAAUAAGAAAGACAAUCCUUCCUAGCCAUAUGCUGGGUCUUAGAAUAUAAAACCACUCGACUAGGCCAUGAAAUCCGUCGAACCUCGCCACUCAAUUCGUGGCAUUCCUGGCAUAGCCAACAUCGCCGCCUUAGCGCAAUAGUCCAGAAUAAAAUGACACAAAGACAACCAGUCUAUACCCAAUAUUACAUCAGAAUCUAACAUAGCAAGCAGCACAAGAUCCACUCGGGUCUCCAAACCUGAUAGUCACUAAGCAGCGCCGAUUCACAUGACCUACAACCACAACAUAACCUGUUUGUGAGACCUUCCCGUCUCCAAAUCCAUAUGGUACACAAAUCAUCAUAUACGAUACCAAUUUCGUCAUCUAAAUACAUACCAUACCUCUAAUACUCAAUCAUUCCACGAGAGAUACUCUAAAAUUCUUUUGUGCCACCAAGCAAACUCGAAUAUCAGCAGUAGAUAUAGCAAGAGAGUGCUGCAACACUACCGAAGUAACAUCAACUUAAUCACAUUGCCUUUUUCUGAAAAAUAUACCCUCGUCAAAUCACUCCAAUUAGCAUUACCAUUUCCUUAAUCAUCGGAAGAUCAUUUCCCAAAUCAUCUGAAGCUCAUUUCUCUAAUUAUCUGAAACUAUCGUUGCUGCCUAAGAAUUGUGGCCUUCCUUUCAGAACUGAUAUAUGACCUUACACAUGCAAAUCUAAGUCUUGCACAACAUACCGCAUAUACCAUACCGACAUAAGGUAAAUAUGAGAAAUUCAUAUCCAUUCCGAGUCACACACAACUACGUACUCAACUAGCCAAGAACUUUUCUAUUGGACCUCAGUUGGGAGAAAAUAACUAUACAUCCCCUGCUCUUCAUGCCCGUGGAAAAUACACACCUCUAACCAUGGUAGAAUCAUCAAGAACUUUUCAAAUUCCAUUCGCACAAAACUAAAUCAUUCGAACUGAAUCCUUCUAACUCAACUAAGCUACGCAGGCCACUAAAAACCCAAGAGAAUUAUCGGAAACACCCGCAGAAACUCAUUACCUCGUAAUCACCCAAAGGACUAAUCAUAUCUUUACCAUGUGGAUCCGGCCAACUACCAAGCUAUCCUAUUGAUACUAGUUCCUUCUAAAUUACCUUCAAAUUAAUACUUUGCCUUGCCGUAACAUCACAAUUCCUCAACCCAGACUCACCACAUGAGACCCAAGCAUAAAACCACAUCGUUUAAGGCUCACAAGCCACCGAAAUCUCUCUUAAAUAUUCCCAACUGCACCACGUUCAAAAUGCUUACCCUGAAGCGACUUCCUAUGAAUCCGAAGUCAUUACCUUCACCUUCCUGAUACUGAUAUAUAGAAUCCCAUAAUUAAUAUAUAAAAUACCACAAGUCCUGACAUCUUCCAAUGAAAACUCAGUUUCUAGCCACAUAUACAACUUGAAAAUACCUAAUUGUUACAUGUAAAAUCUUGAACACCUUAGAAUCGUUCUCGAGAGUCAUUCACUCUAUUCGAACUACAAUUAGCCUGAUCAAACGAACAGGACCACCCGUGCCUCAAUAGCACUCCUAUCACAACCCAAAUUAGGAUUGUGACCGGCGCUUAGGAGCAAGUGCUCCCAAGUAAGCCUCAUCGAUAAUUUUACAAAAAAUCGGACAGAGUUUCCCCUGAUUUUGGACCAUCCCAAAAAAUUUCCUGUCUCAAAUCAACAACCAAACAUCCUAAUAUCAUACCAAACAAUUGAAAACUUGCCAAUUAACUAAUACAAGUCUCCACCAUAACUAAAUCACCAACCAACCACUAGAAAUACUAAUUUAUCUCCAACUUUGAUAAAUGAGAACGAUACUCGACAUAAAACCAUAAUAACAAAAGAAUACUCAUGACACUAAAAUAAUGAUAAUGGAGCGACUCUAAGAGUUCAAUAAAAAGACCAUAACAAUAAAUAAAAUCUCUGCCCACGCGAACAAGUGCGAGGCUCAGCGAGAAAUAUCAACAUGUGCGCUCUAAUUAACGAAAUCCUCGCCUGCGUCAACUGCUGUCUCUAUAAAAAACAAUUAGCGGGAAAUGAGUCACUAGCUCAGUGAGUAAUAACACUUAACCACAACUGUUUUUAUUUGGGGACAAUUCAAAAACAUGCUAGUAUAUCAAACUGAAAACAACAUAAAAAUGCCCUUUCAGAAACAAUAAAUAAUUUUUAGUCUCAUUAUACUUUUCUUGUAGUAUAAUACAAAUACAAUUCAGUAAUAAGCUCGGUAACUACUAUAUAAUAUCAGUAUUCACAUUUUGGGAGGUUUCAAUGAACGGAUCAUGUAAUCGGUAUAACUGUGGACUUCUUCGCAAGAAGUCAAAUAUAACGGUAGUCCCUACCAGAGGGAAAUCGGUAACAGUAUACUAGUUCUAUCUUCCCACUAGCGAGGGCUAUAACUGUACUGUAUAGUCGGUAAGUACAAGGAGCACCAGGUCUAACAAACCCGCCGUUGGCUACAGUAUCCUUCAAUGUCUACUCCCAUUUAUACUUGUCUCUGUAAUCCGUAUAUACUCAUAGAAAAUAUUUUAAUACAAUAUAAGGCAUUUCGGUUCUUAUCAAAUCAUAUAAUUUCUUUUUGAUAACAGUAAAUUCAAGUCACGAUAACAGAUCUAGUGACAACGAAAAUAUUUAAAACAAUGGUAAUCUUCUCAAAUAGCUAUUUCGGUAUCAUAUCGAGUAAAAAACUUGUCCCACAUGCAACUCAAAAUAAUCGGUAACAUAUUUAUAUUAAAAAUCAUGUGUAAAUCAUGCAAGUUAUGAAAACACAAAUUGCGGUAAGAUUACUACUCACAGUAAUCGUGCGAAAUACCAAACUCUUCACCUCGAACGAUUCAUACAAUUUUCUUCAAUCAAUCUAUAACCACAUCAACAUCGAUCUCGUGUUAAUUGCCUCAUUUAAGCUAAAUCCAUCACUAGUUUAGAAUAUCCAAUCCUCCGAGUUUUAUAUUUAACUCUUAAUUUGCCGAAUUAUAGUUACCCACAUAUGAGUAAUUACUAAUCUAUUAACUACAACCUAUUCAUAUAAUUUAUUAAUCCAAUUUCAUAAAGUUCUAUUGAUUCUUUAGGACGAAAAUUCUCAAUAAUCAUGUAAUAAUUAGCUAAUCAUUAGAAUUAAAAUUGAAGACAAUAAACUUUGAAACAUUGUAUAGCAGAACCGGAAACACAUCGUGUACUCUUUUAUUAACAUUGUGCACAUAACCUAUAUUUAAUUCAACUCUUUAAUAUGUAUAUUAAUUACCAUCAUUAGACAAUUAUUACUCCACACCCGUUCUGCCCCAAUUAUUAGGUAAUCAUCAUUCCUUAAAUUUAAAAGAAUAAAUCCCGUAGAAGAGUAGUAAUUUCUUUCUAGCGGCAUAUUUGUUUCUUCUAUAUCUAAUUCCCAGAAGUCAUUGCUAUAUUAUUCCCUUGUCUCUAGAUAAUUGGUAAGAUAAUUACAAAGUAAAUUAUGUGUAAGGUUAGUGUCAUGUAUAGGGAUAAAUACCUGAAUUAUAGUUUCCUCCCUCACUUUUCUUCUCCAACUAUGGUCGCCGCUCACCCGAUUCCGCUUCUCUUCAUUCUAUUUUUUUUCUUUCUUUCUUAGCGUUUUGUAGCUUCUAUUGUUUAGCAGCAGCUUGCUGCCUUUUGCCCUUUUAGUUUCUCUUUCCAAUGGGCUUUAGUCC